AUUGAACGCUGGCGGCAGGCUUAACACAUGCAAGUCGAGCGGGGGAAGGUAGCUUGCUACUGGACCUAGCGGCGGACGGGUGAGUAAUGCUUAGGAAUCUGCCUAUUAGUGGGGGACAACAUCUCGAAAGGGAUGCUAAUACCGCAUACGUCCUACGGGAGAAAGCAGGGGAUCUUCGGACCUUGCGCUAAUAGAUGAGCCUAAGUCGGAUUAGCUAGUUGGUGGGGUAAAGGCCUACCAAGGCGACGAUCUGUAGCGGGUCUGAGAGGAUGAUCCGCCACACUGGGACUGAGACACGGUCCAGACUCCUACGGGAGGCAGCAGUGGGAAAUAUUGCACAAUGGGCGCAAGCCUGAUGCAGCCAUGCCGCGUGUAUGAAGAAGGCCUUCGGGUUGUAAAGUACUUUCAGCGGGGAGGAAGGCGACGCGGUUAAUAACCGCGUCGAUUGACGUUACCCGCAGAAGAAGCACCGGCUAACUCCGUGCCAGCAGCCGCGGUAA
RNAcentral lists this ribosomal RNA (500 nucleotides) under uncultured bacterium. Its description in RNAcentral is "partial 16S ribosomal RNA". It matches the Rfam family "Bacterial small subunit ribosomal RNA", at positions 30 to 523 of the family's 1533-position model. The record is from RNAcentral.